Piliocolobus tephrosceles (Ugandan red Colobus) is the source of this 1886-nucleotide long non-coding RNA. RefSeq lists it as uncharacterized. The record is from RefSeq and is a predicted model, not a curated record. Lineage: Eukaryota; Metazoa; Chordata; Mammalia; Primates; Cercopithecidae. The transcript has 3 exons.
GAGUGGCAUCAGGAUGCCUGAGAGGAGAGCAUGGUGUUUCUGCUUCAUUGGAUCCAUGCAGGUCUUGGAGGGUGGUGGCUCACUCUUUCUGGGCCAGGUAGAGGGUGGCUCAGAUACUCCCCUUCCUCCAGGCUUCUCAUCUGUAACUGGUGAAGCCCGGAAGAGCUUGUUGUUCAAGAGGAAAUCUUGUGUCACUUCUUUACGAAGAACUCCAGCCUGGUGGAGAUGAAUGAGUCCUGAAGAUGGAAUCAAAGCUGUUUGGGCACAAUACUUUAAUCAGCAUUUAAUGACCCAGUCGAAAAAUUCAUCGUUUGGACCCAAGUACUGGUGGGAAAGGCAGGAGGGGAGGCCUGCCUUCCUCUCUCCCUCCCGAACCCUACAGCAGGCCAUGGAGUGGUGAGCGAGUUCGUACCGUGCCAGCCACAUUCCCAGAAACUUCCAGCUGAGGUUAAUCCUGCUUCUCUUGGCUGGGAGACAAUGAAUGGAUAUUAACAAAUGGACUCCCUGUGUUGGCUAAUGCCACUCCCUACUCAACCUAGGAUGACUCCAAUGGUGCAUGUCCCCAUUCCCGGGCCCCAAGGUUGCAUUAAUGUGCUAUCCUGACUGCCUCUUCAUCCUCCAUCCCUAAUGUUCCCACUCCUUUCCCCUCCCAACACCAAGCCAUGCCUGAACUGGACACCCUUCCAUACCAACCCAGGAAAAAGUGAUUCAGCUCCGGUCCACCCUGGGUGCAGCGGUCCUUCUGCCAAGAUGCCUUCAUGUCAUACAGCUAUUAUUUUCGGGAGGAUUCCAAGUGAGGGCAGUCAGGGUAGGCUUGGUCCAUUCUCUAGACUUUGGAAGAUAAUGUUCCAUAGAGACCUGUUCUGAAGCUUUACCAGGUCAAACCGGAGAAGAAUCCAACAACGUAACUCAUCCCAGCCUAACUAUCCUUCAAGGGCAAUCAACCUACAGCAUCCAAGCACAGAGAAAUCAAAUCCAUAGAGAAUCUUCAAAUUAGGCUCAGAAUCCGUUUGGGACACUGGAUUUACUGUUAUCAAGAUCUUAGUUGUGUUCAUCCAUGAUCUGACAUACCUUAGAGUGAGAAGAUAUUCUUCCUGGUCUCAGACUAGUUGAAGGUAGAGAGAGAGAGAGAGAGAGAGAGAGACCCUUGGGUGUGGGGAGACCUCCCCUGGGAUAAUACACACACAAAACCAAGAGCUGCUCACUGUGGUGCAGUAGACAGCAGGGGCCUGAAGCCAGAGGCUCUCUCUGUGUCCUUGAAUACAACGCUUUACUCCUCUGACCCCUGUUACCGUGAUUUGAAGAGGCAGACAAUAUAGUAUGGGCUCUGCAGGCAGGGAAGUCCAGUUACAAUCCCAGCUCUUACUAAGUUGGGUAAGACUCAUUCUGAGGCUUAAUUUCUUCUAUCAUCUCUCAAUAGAAUCAUAAAGGUACUUUCUUGUUAGUGUUGUUUUAAAAUUCAGUAAAAUAACGAAGGCUUAGCACAGGGUCUGAUGUAAAUUUUCAAUGAAUUAUUGUUGUCAGUUAUUGUUCUAGAAAACAAGAGGGCAUAUUAGAUCAAAAGUACUGCCAAGCAUUGAAAUGCCAGUUCUAGAUCCAGUUUCAGUCCUCUGAGAACUGAUAUCAUUGUUUUCAAGCCAUUCAGAAACCAAUGUGAAUUGAACACCUAGUAUGAGCUCUCUGGGGGAAGAGCCAAGUCCUACAUUUUUUAUCUUAAGGGGUCUUCAGUACCUCUAGCCCAAAGCAGUAUCCCCAUCAGGAUUCCUCUCUGACAGUGUUCAUUUCCUUUUUCUCAAUGGAUGCCUUAAAAAAAAAAAAAAUCCAGCAAGGAAACCUGUACUCCUCAAACACACCACUCAGGUGACCAUUAAAUCAUUUACAUUGUU